UGAUAAUCGGUCGAUUUUAGGCCCUUUUCUCUCAAGAUUUGGGAUUCAUUUGAAUCGAUCAAUGGGUUCUUUGAUUUGGGGUUUGCUGGUGGUGGUGCUGGCUUGUGGGUUGGGGGCUGAUGCAGAUGGGUCUGAUCACAAAUACAAGCAAGGGGAUCGGGUCCCUUUGUAUGCGAACAAAGUGGGGCCGUUUCACAAUCCGAGCGAGACAUAUCGAUACUAUGAUUUGCCAUUCUGCUCGCCAGGACAUGUAA
This 254-nucleotide unclassified non-coding RNA is filed under the name Hevea brasiliensis (rubber tree). Lineage: Eukaryota; Viridiplantae; Streptophyta; Magnoliopsida; Malpighiales; Euphorbiaceae. The record is from RNAcentral.